GACGUAGGGCGCAAGCGUUGUCCGGAUUUAUUGGGCGUAAAGGGCUCGUAGGCGGUCUGCUGCGUCUUCCGUGAAAACCUGUGGCUUAACUACAGGCUUGCGGUGGAUACGGGUGGGCUGGAGUGCGGUAGGGGAGACUGGAAUUCCUGGUGUAGCGGUGAAAUGCGCAGAUAUCAGGAGGAACACCGGUGGCGAAGGCGGGUCUCUGGGCCGUUACUGACGCUGAGGAGCGAAAGCGUGGGGAGCGAACAGG
This 253-nucleotide unclassified non-coding RNA is filed under the name uncultured Actinomycetes bacterium. Its description in RNAcentral is "uncultured actinobacterium contains 16S-23S intergenic spacer region". It matches the Rfam family "Bacterial small subunit ribosomal RNA", at positions 524 to 776 of the family's 1533-position model. The record is from RNAcentral. Lineage: Bacteria; Bacillati; Actinomycetota; Actinomycetes.